RNAcentral lists this ribosomal RNA (483 nucleotides) under uncultured bacterium. Its description in RNAcentral is "partial 16S ribosomal RNA". It matches the Rfam family "Bacterial small subunit ribosomal RNA", at positions 28 to 507 of the family's 1533-position model. The record is from RNAcentral.
GACGAACGCUGGCGGCGUGCUUAACACAUGCAAGUCGAACGCUGAAGCUCAGCUUUUGUUGGGUGGAUGAGUGGCGAACGGGUGAGUAACACGUGAGUAACCUGCCCCCUUCUUUGGGAUAACGCCCGGAAGCGGGUGCUAAUACUGGAUAUUCACUGGUCUUCGCAUGGGGGUUGGUGGAAAGGGUUUUUCUGGUGGGGGAUGGGCUCGCGGCCUAUCAGCUUGUUGGUGGGGUGAUGGCCUACCAAGGCUUUGACGGGUAGCCGGCCUGAGAGGGUGACCGGUCACAUUGGGACUGAGAUACGGCCCAGACUCCUACGGGAGGCAGCAGUGGGGAAUAAUGCACAAUGGGCGCAAGCCUGAUGCAGCGACGCCGCGUGAGGGAUGGAGGCCUUCGGGUUGUGAACCUCUUUCGCUCAUGGUCAAGCCGCAACAAUGGUUGUGGUGAGGGUAGUGGGUAAAGAAGCGCCGGCUAACUACGUG